AAGGCAAGCUAGAUGAUCGCGGGCGGCCGAAAGGCCGCUUGAGGAAAGUCCGGGCUCCAUAGGACAUGACGCCGGGUAACGCCCGGGAGCGGUAACGCUAUAGAAAGCACCACAGAAAAUAUACCGCCGGUUUUCCGGUAAGGGUGAAAUGGUGGGGUAAAAGCCCACCGCGUAGCUGGCAACAGCUAUGGCAGGGUAAGCCUCGUCAGGAGCAAAACCAAGCAGCAGGUUGGGUAGUCCGUCUUUAGCCUGCGGGUCGGUUGCUACAGGGUAUUGGUAACAAUGCAUGUGGAUAGAUGAUCAUCAUAAACAGAACCCGGCUUAUUGCUUGCCUUUUUU
Molecule: non-coding RNA, 339 nt
Organism: Sphaerochaeta pleomorpha str. Grapes
Lineage: Bacteria; Pseudomonadati; Spirochaetota; Spirochaetia; Spirochaetales; Sphaerochaetaceae
Rfam family: Bacterial RNase P class A
About the family: Ribonuclease P (RNase P) is a ubiquitous endoribonuclease, found in archaea, bacteria and eukarya as well as chloroplasts and mitochondria.
Source: Rfam